Molecule: ribosomal RNA, 528 nt
Filed under: Triticum aestivum (bread wheat)
Lineage: Eukaryota; Viridiplantae; Streptophyta; Magnoliopsida; Poales; Poaceae
Description: partial small subunit ribosomal RNA
Source: RNAcentral
AUGGAACGAGCCAGUACUUUGAUUGGGAAUUCCCUUUCCUGGUUACUUCAGCUGCAUCGUCAACAUGUCAUAGUUGAGUUUGAUCUGGAUAACCAGAGCCUAGCUGUGACAGAGGUACCAGCAACUGUAGAACCUGACUGUCGAAAUUUAUGGAUUAUGCCGGCCGAAGAUGGUGGGCUUGGCUUGAUCCACAUCUCACAAUUCCAUGGCCGGUUAUGGAAGAGAAAGCCUGAUUCUGAUGGUUUGGCUGUAUGGGUGCUCUACAGAGCUAUUGAUUUUGAUGUGCUCAGAUCAACUUUCGGUGGAUACUCCCCCACUUUAGUUGGGGUUGCCGAGGAGAGUAAAGCAAUCAUUGUAGUGACAACUUGUGGUGUCUUCAUGGUCUAUCUCCAGUCAAUGGAGUUUAAGAAACUUUCCGAUGAAUGGUCCUCCUGUCUCCAUUAUCCAUUUGCAUGUUUCUACCCUGCAGUUGUAGGUACUGCCAUUGUUGACGGACAUGAUGGAGAUGAGGUGUUGAACAAUAUAUGA